AUCUUUUUCUGGUGCAUAAGCAUAAUGAUUGGGUACUCACAAGUUUGUGUGAUAUGUGCUGCCCUUAAACCUUGUUACAACAUCAGCAUAUAACCCUUCUGAAA
This is a small nucleolar RNA of Suncus etruscus (white-toothed pygmy shrew), 104 nucleotides long. RefSeq annotates it as small nucleolar RNA U13. The transcript has a single exon. NCBI's taxonomy places the organism in Eukaryota, Metazoa, Chordata, Mammalia, Eulipotyphla, Soricidae. The record is from RefSeq and is a predicted model, not a curated record.